ACGGAGGAGUGCUGAGUUGAGCCAACUCGGAGCUGUUGUUUCCGAGAUGCUUUGUUGUUGCUGCUGUUGCGGUUGUUGUUGGUCGGUGAAGUGGUGAAGCGGAAGGUCUUGAGAGAGGUGGUUGUGAUGAAACGCCAUGUGUAUUUCGAUUACGAGUUCAUGGAGAGACAAAGACAGUGAAGGAAGGACUUGCGCAACAAAGAAAGCCAGAAAGGAAGAGAGACAGAGAGAGAGAAAGAAGAUGAGCGGAAGGAUUUUUGAGAGAGAUAGAGACGGGACGGCAGCGUUUUUCGGCAGGCGAAAGAAAAAACUACAACUAUGCAAGAGGAGGAAGCGGGAGCGGCAGCUUGAGGGAUACCAAGAAUAAUUAUUAUUAAAAACAUUAUUCAUCAUUUCUUAAUAAUUAUUUGUGUGGAUUAAGUGUGAUCCGACGGUUUAAGUUGACGUCGUUGCUUGGACUAUCAACCACAAGGCGCGUGUGGAACAAUCUGUUUUCUGGGUUGCCGUACAACUGGAGCAGAAGUUAUCUUAAAGUGUGAUAACAGUUGAAUAUGUGGGCGGGGGUAGAAUAAGACCGAAUAAAUUAUAAUCAGAAUUGCAAGCGGGCCAUCAAGAUAAAACCUACCCCGUCUAAACGUUAACUAAAUUUCUUAUUAAUAAAAUGAGAGUUUUGUUUUGUAAUAUGAUAAUUUUGAUAUAAAAUAGGUUAAAAUCAUUUUCACCUAA
Molecule: long non-coding RNA, 726 nt
Organism: Mangifera indica (mango)
Lineage: Eukaryota; Viridiplantae; Streptophyta; Magnoliopsida; Sapindales; Anacardiaceae
Exons: 2
Source: RefSeq, a predicted model, not a curated record